CGCGGCUAGUAUACACAAUAACACAAUGCAUUCAAGGAAGCGGGAAAAUAGGCUAACACAUUCAAAAUUCAGCCUCCUGCAAAUUCCCCCAAUUUCUAGGGUUUCCGUUACGAAUUCACUGGCAUUUCAACGAGCUUCAGGAUGUUGAUCAAUGCUCUCAUCUCAGAUUGUUCAAUAUAUGAUAAAACAGACCGGAAUUUGGCUGAAUUUUGUAGAAUUUGGUGGUGGCACCUUGAUGGCUGCAGCCUGCAACGUGGUAUGGCUGUGCUGGUCUGCGUCUAGGCGAGCGCCUUGUGCGCCUUUUGAUUACUAUGAUUUCAGCAACAAAUUAUUGAAUUGAAAGCAACACGGUUAUAGGUACUUGUAACUAAAGCAAUAGAAUUUAUAUUUGCUCUUGGAAAAUUUGUUUUGUUUUUUAAAUGACAAGUCAUUCCAAAUAAUUUAUUUAUUUAUUUCGGUUAAA
This is a long non-coding RNA of Helianthus annuus (common sunflower), 463 nucleotides long. RefSeq lists it as uncharacterized. The transcript is spliced from 3 exons. Lineage: Eukaryota; Viridiplantae; Streptophyta; Magnoliopsida; Asterales; Asteraceae. The record is from RefSeq and is a predicted model, not a curated record.